UGGGGAUGCACUGUAACCUCACAGCUCGU
Molecule: non-coding RNA, 29 nt
Filed under: Rattus norvegicus (Norway rat)
Lineage: Eukaryota; Metazoa; Chordata; Mammalia; Rodentia; Muridae
Source: RNAcentral